GAGCGAUGGCAGUUCUGGAGGCCUCGCUCCGGGGCCGACCCGAGGCCACAGUGCCCCCGCGGUAGACCGGACUUGGGUGACGGGCUCCGGGGUCCCGAGGUGAAGAGCAUCGGGGGCUGAGGGAUGGAAGGGUCUAAGACGUCCAACAACAGCACCAUGCAGGUGAGCUUCGUGUGCCAGCGCUGCAGCCAGCCCCUGAAACUGGACACGAGUUUCAAGAUCCUGGACCGUGUCACCAUCCAGGAACUCACAGCUCCAUUACUUACCACAGCCCAGGCGAAACCAGGAGAGACCCAGGAGGAAGAGACUAACUCAGGAGAGGUAAUAGAAGUGCCCUCUCCCCUAUCCUCAUGUAGUAAGCAUUCCAAGUGAGAGAUAUAUGAAAACACAGGAAUGCAGGCUUGGUUUCUGCAGGCUACUUGGCGCUUCUAGAGCUCCCAGACUUUUGGGGUCUCUGGGUAAUGAGACAUUCUACAUGAUCAGGCUGCUAUGCACCACUGGAGGUACAGUCUGCACCUGAGGUCACAGGGUUACUGAAUGAGCCAUUUUAAAAUCUUGGAAAGGGCUCUUUAUUUGAAGCAGAAUUAUAAAUUAUCGUAGGUUGGAGAUGGGAUGACCUGUGUGUCCAGGUCGUUCCAGAGCAUUGAUUUGCAUCUGUUGUUCUAGCUAGUUGUUAAUAUCUGCUCCUCUCCAUUCUCAAAAGCAUCCUGGUUAGGACAGUGAAUUGUAUGAUUUCCCU
Molecule: small RNA, 739 nt
Filed under: Pongo abelii (Sumatran orangutan)
Lineage: Eukaryota; Metazoa; Chordata; Mammalia; Primates; Hominidae
Description: retained intron
Source: RNAcentral